This 491-nucleotide ribosomal RNA is filed under the name uncultured bacterium. RNAcentral's name for it is "bacterial SSU rRNA". It matches the Rfam family "Bacterial small subunit ribosomal RNA", at positions 28 to 523 of the family's 1533-position model. The record is from RNAcentral.
GAUGAACGCUGGCGGCGUGCCUAAAUACAUGCAAAGUCGAAACGAGGUGCUUUUGUAGCAAUACGAGAGUAUCCUAGUGGCGAACGGGUGAGUAACGCGUUGGUGACCUACCCCAAAGUGUGGGAUAACAGUCCGAAAGGAUUGCUAAUACCGCAUGUGGUCUUCAGGUUUAGAAACUGAUGACUAAAGGAGCAAUUCGCUUUGGGAGGGACCUGCGUCCCAUCAGCUAGUUGGUGAGGUAAUGGCUCACCAAGGCGACGACGGGUAGGGGACCUGAGAGGGUGACCCCCCACAAUGGAACUGAAACACGGUCCAUACACCUACGGGUGGCAGCAGUAGGGAAUAUUGCACAAUGGGCGAAAGCCUGAUGCAGCAACGCCGCGUGCACGAUGAAGGCCUUCGGGUCGUAAAGUGCUUUUCUGGGAGAUGAGAAAGGACAGUAUCCCAGGAAUAAGGUCUCGGGCUAACUACGUGCCCAGCAGCCGCGGUAA